CCGUUUGAAAAAAAUUCACAAAAUCAAUUGGACAAGAAAAUCACAGCUCUCUCUCCUUCUAUCGGAAAUUAAGCCUUCUUCGGAGUCCCAACCUUUCCAGCUGCUCCAGCAGAAUCCGUUGAUGCCACCGACGAUGUAGCUGUAAGAUCCCUCGCUCGCGCAGCUGCACCCAGUGCGCUAGAACUGCUACUCCUGCCAUUGCCGCUGCUGAAGGUGGAGCUGGAACUGGAACUGGCCCGUCUCAUAUACUUCUGUCGGCACAUACCGAGGACAAGGAAGGUGACGAGCAGGAACCAGGAGCCGCCUAGGAUGAAGAGGAUUACAAGGGAGGCCAUAUCUGCUCGUCCCGUUUCUUCCUAUCCCCUCCUUUCCUCCGAUUUCUCCUGGUCUGCUCUCUCUCUGUGGUUCCCUUAUCAGCGGCUCUCUCGAUCCUAUUAGGAGACAAGGUUUUUGGAAAACUCGUCCUGGUUGUUCAGAGGAUGGGUAUUAAGGGAGGUGGAAGGCAAGACGGGCAGCAGAGGUAUGAAGGAUUGGAUGAUAAGAUGACUUCUCGCGCGCGCUCGCCGCGUUUGUUGGGUAUUAGAUGAUUAACUUAACGUGUGAUGCUAACGAAAAAUAAUGUAUAUGGACAAGGCUAUGGAAAAUAUGAUGUUCCCUUUUCUUUCUCUUUUCUCUUUUUUCUUCUUUUCCUCUUUCUUGUCGGAUUUCCUCGGCUAAUGGUGUGAUUGGAUGGUUGAAUGCCAAAUGCCAGGAAAUCGUGAGGAACUCGAUGGUGGCGACCAGCACAGAAGCCGGCUUGCUUUUUUGCCAUGCACAUGCACGCGCCGUGCUGGUUCAAUCUCAACACAUAGGAAAAUACACAGGUAGUGUGAGAAGGAAGCCAAAGAAAGAGGUAAUAAGAGAACCCCUCCAAAAGAAAAUUUAAAUGCGCAGCCAGCAAAGAGCAUUAAGAAAUUUUUUUUUUUUUUGACCCGACAAAAAAUGUCAUUAUGCAAUAAAAAUUCCGAAUUGGUAUAUGUGCGAUUCCUUUUGCCUUUGGUCUUGCGCAAGGAUAUAUAGAAAGUAUGAGCCUGAUUGGCUUGAUGCUGGUGUGUGGACCGGCCAGUUGUAUGCUUGGUACCUUUCCUUGUCCUUCCUUUGACUUUCUAGCUGCGAGACGCUUGCAUGGAAUGGGACCUGAAAGAAAUGAAAGGGAAUAUCAGGAAAUAGGGCGGCAAUGUAGUUCGGAA
Molecule: small RNA, 1229 nt
Filed under: Histoplasma ohiense
Lineage: Eukaryota; Fungi; Ascomycota; Eurotiomycetes; Onygenales; Ajellomycetaceae
Description: hypothetical lncRNA
Source: RNAcentral